AGGAGUCAUACUGCUACUUGUGGGCUCAACUCUCCCGAGCUCCUCCCCAAGCAGCCGUCUCUCAUUACCCGCCCCCGCCCCCGCCCCCAGGGAUCGCUUUACUGUUGAGCCCUGCUGGAAGAAAUCGGGCCCUAAGUGUGGUCUCAGCUGUCAAGUGUUGAGGAGCCUGGAAAGUGGUUUGAAAACCAAGUUCUGCGCAUUAGUAUCCUUCCCCCACAACUGAUGAUGACACUUCAUUUGUGCUUAAAGAGGACCACUUCACCUUCAUUGGAUACAGCCUUACUUCAGCUGUUAAUCAAGAUCAUAUCCAGAUACCACCACAAUGCCUUCAUUCAACAUCAAAGAGGCUGUUCUCUGCUCAGAGAGGGACCACAACGAGGACUUC
This is a long non-coding RNA of Lynx canadensis (Canada lynx), 385 nucleotides long. RefSeq lists it as uncharacterized. The record is from RefSeq and is a predicted model, not a curated record. The transcript is spliced from 3 exons. NCBI's taxonomy places the organism in Eukaryota, Metazoa, Chordata, Mammalia, Carnivora, Felidae.